GAAGGGGCUGGGGACCGGGAGCCGCGCUCGGGGUGAGCGGGCCGUCGCGUUCAUUUCCAUAAGAAAGCUGAAAUCGCGGUUGGAGGGAGGACUCCUCGCCCCUGCUGCCCUCCCCCUACACCCGGCUUUCAGCAGGAGCGGGCUCGGGAGCGCAGAGCCCUAACGUGCGCUCCGCUCUUUGAUGGUAUUGAUAAAACGUGGCUUCAAGUGUCGCCCCGACUGAGGCCGCUUUCCUGCCUGUGAGGAGUGGAAGCUCCGCGCGGUUGCCUGCAAAUGGCUCCCCUUUACUGAUUCUGGACCACCUGUACUUGCCCGUGAAACCAAACCAGGUCGUGAAUACAGCACCAAUCAGAUCAAGCAAUCAAAUACCAAUUAUGCCUAUUAAUGACUUUAUUACUAAUGAUUGGAGUUAAGGACGCCAAACCUGCUCAAGAGUUAAUUGCCCUGCAGCGAGGCCAUCUGACACCUCAGCCAAGGAAUACAGCAGAGAAGGAAUCCUCCACAGGGGGACCACAUCACCUGGGUCUGAGAGGACUGCUUCCUCAGGAAACCUUUCCUGGGAAUCUGGUGAGAGUUGGAGGCAAGUUUCCUGCACUUAGAACUUGUUCGGAAAUUGACAUCUAAAGAGGAGAGAAGCACUUUGUCACCCAGACUGGGCCCCUACGGCAUCAGAAAACCUUUCCACUCUUGGUGAACCCCUGAGACUGCCCCCCCACCCAAGAGGCCCCUUCACAUUGUUCGAUGUCAGUGUCCUGCUUGCUUUCCUUGGAAAGGUCAUGGGGACUCAGACACCCGCCAACCCCACGGGCUCCGGCUUCUCCAGCGCUCUCCCUUUCGCCCAGCAGGGAGGCUUGUGGAGCGCUUCUGGGUCUGCAUUGCCAGACCAGACUGCAGCCCAUGACCUUCCCGGGGCCAACCAAGGGCGAGGUAUGUUGCCCAACAAGACCACAGCCUCACCGGGCCGCCCAGGAACAACCACCGACAAAGGCUCUGCGGGCCCUGGCGCAGCCACCCACCCAUGCCCGCGGGGCCUGCAGGAGUGCUGGGGCCGAGGCUGCAAAGCUGGGUAGCCAGCCCCACACCAUUGACAGCCCAGGCACGUUUGCGGAACCCAGGGGAACAAUCAACGGACUCUAUGUCCCGGGAGCUGGGGAUACGCCUGUAAGAGUGUGAUGUUCCAGCCCAACUCAAUGGGCUUGCCUUCUCCUGAGAGGCAGUCCUGGAGGACAGAACUAAUGUGCCAUCUCCCAGGAAGCUCUUCAUCAGAAUAUCCCUUGUCCUUUUGUUUUUGUGUUAAAAAAGUGUUUUUACUUUCUCUGAGUGUCUGUCCUGUUAUUUUGUAACUACAACAAUGAAAUGUGGACGACAGUUGAUAUAAUUCUUGUGGUCCUUUGUAAACAUGCUUCAUAUUGGGGCCUCACACAGUCCCAGCCAUACCUCAGGUGUGUCCUGUGCUCUUGACAUUCACUCACGACUCAGGAGUCACCCAGAGAUUAACACUUCCUUCUGCCUUCCUCUGGACAGCUCUCUCCCAAACAAUGCUCCUUUCCCAACUCAUAGGGGAAGGGGAUUCAGUUAGAGAAAGCUUUCUGAAUUAAAAAAGAUGAGCCUCAGGUUCUCCAGGUAAUUGAUACUGGCUUACACUGGUGGCUAGGAAGCCAUGCCAGCAUCUCCCUAGGUAUAACUCCUCUCAGGA
Long non-coding RNA from Equus asinus (donkey), 1696 nucleotides. The record is from Ensembl. NCBI's taxonomy places the organism in Eukaryota, Metazoa, Chordata, Mammalia, Perissodactyla, Equidae.